RNAcentral lists this ribosomal RNA (406 nucleotides) under uncultured bacterium. Its description in RNAcentral is "partial 16S ribosomal RNA". It matches the Rfam family "Bacterial small subunit ribosomal RNA", at positions 30 to 526 of the family's 1533-position model. The record is from RNAcentral.
AUUGAACGCUGGCGGCAUGCUUUACACAUGCAAGUCGGACGAGUGGCGAACGGGUGAGUAAUAUAUCGGAACGUACCGAGUAAUGGGGGAUAACUAAUCGAAAGAUUAGCUAAUACCGCAUAUUAUUCGUGCGUCCGAUAUCUGCUUAGCUAGUUGGUGGGGUAAAGGCCUACCAAGGCGACGAUCAGUAGCGGGUCUGAGAGGAUGAUUCGCCAACCGUGUACUGAGAAACGGCCCAGACUCCUACGGGAGGCAGCAGUGGGGAAUUUUGGACAAUGGGCGCAAGCCUGAUCCAGCCAUGCCGCGUAUCUGAAGAAGGCCUUCGGGUUGUAAAGGACGUGUGUCAGGGAAGCGGUACCUGAAGAAUAAGCACCGGCUAACUACGUGCCAGCAGCCGCGGUAAUAC